This is a long non-coding RNA of Magnolia sinica, 260 nucleotides long. RefSeq lists it as uncharacterized. The transcript is spliced from 2 exons. NCBI's taxonomy places the organism in Eukaryota, Viridiplantae, Streptophyta, Magnoliopsida, Magnoliales, Magnoliaceae. The record is from RefSeq and is a predicted model, not a curated record.
CUUUUUCUUCUGUUUGCCACCGCCGGAUUUUGCGGGCUUGGAAGAUGGUGGGGGAGCCUUCUCCUUCUUAGGCGCCUACACCACCAAAAACAAACAUACUUAAAUUCAAGGAUAUAGAGAGAGAGAGAGAGAGCAUACGAUUACCAUUUUCUUUGAUGCGAGGGAAUCAAGAAGAAGUGGAAGACACCUUGUGAGGAGAACAAGAGUGUGAUGGGUAUAGCGCGGCUAGGGUUUCUAUUUCAGAAAAAACGAAAAAAGAA